Molecule: long non-coding RNA, 1103 nt
Filed under: Junco hyemalis (dark-eyed junco)
Lineage: Eukaryota; Metazoa; Chordata; Aves; Passeriformes; Passerellidae
Description: lncRNA (ENSJHYG00000013611.1)
Source: RNAcentral
CGGGGAUCCAGUCCCGAGCUGUGGGAAGCCAGUCCUGGGCAGUGGGGAGCCAGCCCUGGGCAUGGGAAUCCAGUCCCGAGCUGUGGGGAGCCAGCCCUGGAGAUGGGAUGCAGCCCCAAGGUGUGGGGAGCCCCUGCAGUUGCUGUGCCCGGAGCUGGCCCCCCCCAGGCAGGGAGCCCAGUGCCUGUGCAGCCCCCACAGCCCAGCUCCCUUCUCCCACACAGCGCAGUGGAGGUGGGUGUCUGGGGGCUCCUGUUCCACAAACAAUCUCGGGGAGGCGGACAGCCCUGCAGCUCUGCAGGGAGCUCUCUGAGGGGGAGCAGAGGGAGCAGGGGACUCACUUGGAGCUGGGAGCGGGCAGUGAGGGCAGUGCACGCUGAGGAAGCAGGGUCAGAGAAGCAGGACCUGUCUGGUCACUCCUUUGUCCCCAUGUAGCUGGUCCAGGCAGUUCAGCAACCCUCUCCUCUACUCCAACUCUUCUUCCAGCCCAGCUCCUGGGAAUGCCAGAGGAGCCGGGAGCUGGGGUCUGUCACAGCCCCUGGCGCCAGGCCCGUCAGAGUCCUGGAGUGCAGCAUGCUGGGCUCUGCUGGCCCCAGCUCCUGCUGCCCUUUCCCUGCCUGCUGGUUGGGAGCAGGACACAGCAGUGUGGGCAGCAGCAGGGAGAGCAAAGCACUGAAAUGGGGCACAAGAACUUGGGGCUGCACAGGAGGCGACCACGAGAGGCUGAGCUGCGGGUCAGAGGGGGUGAGAGGGAUGGGGCUGGUCGGAAUCCAUCACAUCAUCCUGGGCUUCCCUUUUGGGGCAUGGGAAGCAGACAGGGAUUGGGCUGUGGGACUCACAGGGAUCAUGGGAUCCCGUUCCCUACUGGGAGGCAGUGCCUGGAGCGCAGGGUGCUGGCCUGUGGGUGGUGAGGGAUGAGGGAUGCUGUGCCACCGCUACCCAGCACAGUGCUCUUCUCCCGUUUGCAGGCAUGGAAGAUGAGCAGUGCCCAGACCAUGGGAUGCUGCUCUGCUCCCUGCCUGCCUCUCCCACAUGGCACCAGUCAGAGGGAGAAUUAAUCACACUUCUGGAUUGUCAAAGGAAUUCUUGGAGCUGUGGGAAGG